CCGUGACCUCCUGCCAGCGGGCGUUCGACACUUCACGUGGCCUCAAGGUGCACAUGGCCUGGCACAAGCGUCGUGCUGACGUCACCGCCACUUAGUGGCGAAUGGCGGUUGUUGUUGUUGAUAGUGAUGAUGAUGGGGUGAUGAUGAUGUUGGUGAUGGUGACGAUGGUGCUGAUGGUGAAUCGCAGGGAUGAGGAGGCGUGGUGACGUGAGCGCGCACUGCAGGCAAAGGAGCGGCCACACGAACCUGCGAUUUGAACUGCACCGGCAACAUUGCUCACGCACGCCAACCUGAAC
Long non-coding RNA from Lethenteron reissneri (Far Eastern brook lamprey), 296 nucleotides. RefSeq lists it as uncharacterized. The record is from RefSeq and is a predicted model, not a curated record. Lineage: Eukaryota; Metazoa; Chordata; Hyperoartia; Petromyzontiformes; Petromyzontidae.